GAUCUGGCUGUGACAUCUGUCACCCCAUUGAUCACCAGCGUUGAUUCAGCUGAUCUGGCUGGCUGGGUUGAUUCAGCUGAUC
Molecule: small nuclear RNA, 82 nt
Filed under: Erinaceus europaeus (western European hedgehog)
Lineage: Eukaryota; Metazoa; Chordata; Mammalia; Eulipotyphla; Erinaceidae
Description: 7SK RNA
Rfam family: 7SK RNA
About the family: 7SK was discovered as an abundant small nuclear RNA in the mid-70s but a possible function has only recently been suggested.
Source: Rfam by way of RNAcentral